RNAcentral lists this ribosomal RNA (253 nucleotides) under uncultured bacterium. RNAcentral describes it as "partial 16S ribosomal RNA". It matches the Rfam family "Bacterial small subunit ribosomal RNA", at positions 524 to 776 of the family's 1533-position model. The record is from RNAcentral.
UACGAAGGGGGCUAGCGUUGUUCGGAAUCACUGGGCGUAAAGCGCACGUAGGCGGAUCUUUAAGUCAGGGGUGAAAUCCCAGAGCUCAACUCUGGAACUGCCUUUGAUACUGGGGAUCUCGAGUUCGGGAGAGGUGAGUGGAACUGCGAGUGUAGAGGUGAAAUUCGUAGAUAUUCGGAAGAACACCAGUGGCGAAGGCGACUUACUGGACACAUAUUGACGCUGAGGUGCGAAAGCGUGGGGAGCAAACAGG